AACGAACGCUGGCGGCAAGCUUAACACAUGCAAGUCGAACGCUCGUAGCAAUACAGGAGUGGCAGACGGGUGAGUAACGCGUGGGAACAUACCCUUUAGUUCGGAAUAACAGAGAGAAAUUUCAGCUAAUACCGGAUGUGCCCUUCGGGGGAAGGAUUUAUCGCCCAAGUAUUGGCCCGCAUCCGAUUGGCUAGGUGGUGAGGUAAGGGCCAACCAAGGCGAUGAUCAGUAGCUGGUCUGGGAGGAUGAUCAGCUACACUGGGACUGAGACACGGCCCAGACUCGUACGGGAGGCAGCAGUGGGGAAUAUUGGACAAUGGGGGCAACCCUGAUCCAGCCAUGCCGCGUGAGUGAGGAAGGCCUUAGGGUUGUAAAGCUCUUUCGCUAGGGAAGAUAAUGACGGUACCUAGAGAAGAAGCCCCGGCUAACUUCGUGCCAGCAGCCGCAGUAA
Molecule: ribosomal RNA, 451 nt
Filed under: uncultured bacterium
Lineage: Bacteria
Description: partial 16S ribosomal RNA
Rfam family: Bacterial small subunit ribosomal RNA
Source: RNAcentral